CGCUUCCGAGGAGCGUUGCGACGGCUUUCACCAGGCCGCCAGGCUCGGAGCAUUCAAUCCGGACGGUUCGAAAACGCGAUGAGCGUUCAUUGAUCCGCCGCAUCGAACGGCGCUCACGUCAA
RNAcentral lists this non-coding RNA (122 nucleotides) under Caballeronia glathei. RNAcentral describes it as "Burkholderia glathei SAH sequence". It matches the Rfam family "SAH (S-adenosyl-L-homocysteine) riboswitch aptamer". Lineage: Bacteria; Pseudomonadati; Pseudomonadota; Betaproteobacteria; Burkholderiales; Burkholderiaceae. The record is from RNAcentral.